UACAGAGGUCCCAAGCGUUGUUCGGAUUCACUGGGCGUAAAGGGUGCGUAGGUGGUGAGGUAAGUCGGAUGUGAAAUCUCCGAGCUCAACUCGGAAAUGGCAUUGGAAACUACCUUGCUCGAGGGUUGGAGGGGGGACUGGAAUGCUUGGUGUAGCAGUGAAAUGCGUAGAUAUCAAGCGGAACACCAGUGGCGAAGGCGAGUCCCUGGGCCUGCACUGACGCUCAUGCACGAAAGCGUGGGGAGCAAACAGG
This 253-nucleotide ribosomal RNA is filed under the name uncultured bacterium. RNAcentral describes it as "partial 16S ribosomal RNA". It matches the Rfam family "Bacterial small subunit ribosomal RNA", at positions 524 to 776 of the family's 1533-position model. The record is from RNAcentral.